ACUGGGCACAGUGGUGCCUGCCUGUAGUCUCAGCUAUGUGGGAGGCUGAGGUGGGAGGAUUGCUUGAACCCAGCAGUUUUGGGCUGUAGUGGGCUAUGCUUAUCAAGUGUACACACAAGUUCGGCAUCAAUAUGGUGACCUCCCGGGAGCGGGGGACCACCAGGUUGCCUAAGGAGGGGUGAACUGGCCCAGGUCGGAAAUGGAGCAGGUCAAAACUCCCGUGAUGAUCAGUAGUGGGAUCGCGCCUGUGAAUAGUCACUACACUUCAGUCUGGACAACAUAGCGAGACCCCAUUUCU
Aotus nancymaae (Ma's night monkey) is the source of this 298-nucleotide unclassified non-coding RNA. It matches the Rfam family "Metazoan signal recognition particle RNA". Rfam says of the family: The signal recognition particle (SRP) is a universally conserved ribonucleoprotein. NCBI's taxonomy places the organism in Eukaryota, Metazoa, Chordata, Mammalia, Primates, Aotidae. The record is from Ensembl.